UACGAAGGGGGCUAGCGUUGCUCGGAAUUACUGGGCGUAAAGGGCGCGUAGGCGGUCUUCUAAGUCUUGUGUGAAAUCCCUCGGCUCAACUGAGGAACUGCACGGGAUACUGGAAGACUUGAGUUCGGGAGAGGGAAGCGGAAUUCCGGGUGUAGCGGUGAAAUGCGUAGAUAUCCGGAGGAACACCAGUGGCGAAGGCGAGUCUCUGGGCUGAUACCGACGCUGAGGCGCGAAAGCCAGGGGAGCAAACGGG
Molecule: ribosomal RNA, 253 nt
Filed under: uncultured bacterium
Lineage: Bacteria
Description: partial 16S ribosomal RNA
Rfam family: Bacterial small subunit ribosomal RNA
Source: RNAcentral